GGUGUCCAUAAUUUCGGACAAGGAUACGAGAUUAACUAUCACCAAACAAACAGGUAUUUUAGGUCAGACUUAGUCUAGCAUCUUCCCCCUUAUAAACCCCCAAUUCCCAACUCCACAGGCCAAUAAACCCUAACCCUAAUUAGCUUCUUCUUCGCCAUUUCUUACAUUUUUCUUUCCACGAUUUCGUAGUUUAUUUGGGGAUUCCCUUCACCAUUGAUAGAUAGAGCAUCGGUGAUGAGUCUCACAUAAUUGUUAUCCUUGCACUUUGAUUGUCAGUGAAGAAACUCAUGGGGAAUUUUUUCUCUGAGAUCUGGUGGUGUCAAGUUGAAGUGGUGGGAUGAGUAUGUGGUUCCAACCCUAGUUUGGAUUAUGGUUGAUAACUAAGAGUGAGCUAGUGGAUUGAAGGUCCUAUUGUGAGUGACUGUGUUAGGGAGAGCAAGUGUUCCAUUGAAGGUCCUGCUGUUCCAUAGUAAGGUGGAGAUAGUUGAAUUCAGAAUAUCAUGGAUUCAAUUAGUCUUAAUUGGACUGAUAUAGCAGUUGGGCAAUAUGGCUUUGAGAUAGCUACAAGCCAUGAUGUUAAUUUUACUUAGUCUUAAUGGGAAAGGCUGAUGAACACUCCCCAUUAUUAUGGAGAACAAGUUAUAGAAAACAUGGUAUUUUCUAGUGUGCUUUCCAAAAGUAUGGUUAGUUUUUUUUUUUUUUUUUAUAAUUAUAUAUAUCUAUUAUUAUACAUAGAAGAAAUAAUAAAUAAAAAAUUUAUGGGUGUUAUAAAAUGACAACAUCUAUCUUUUAUUUAUUUAUUUUUAGUUCUUUUAUAUAUAGUAUAGUUAUAUAUAAUUAUGAAAAAUAUAUUAGAAAAAAUGUUAAAAUAAAAAUCAUACUUUUACUAAUAUGUUUGAAUUUAAUCGUUUGUUAAUUUAA
Long non-coding RNA from Humulus lupulus (European hop), 921 nucleotides. RefSeq lists it as uncharacterized. The record is from RefSeq and is a predicted model, not a curated record. NCBI's taxonomy places the organism in Eukaryota, Viridiplantae, Streptophyta, Magnoliopsida, Rosales, Cannabaceae. The transcript is spliced from 2 exons.